RNAcentral lists this ribosomal RNA (253 nucleotides) under uncultured bacterium. RNAcentral describes it as "partial 16S ribosomal RNA". It matches the Rfam family "Bacterial small subunit ribosomal RNA", at positions 524 to 776 of the family's 1533-position model. The record is from RNAcentral.
UACGUAGGUGGCAAGCGUUAUCCGGAUUUACUGGGUGUAAAGGGCGUGUAGGCGGGGACGCAAGUCAGAUGUGAAAACCACGGGCUCAACCUGUGGCCUGCAUUUGAAACUGUGUUUCUUGAGUACUGGAGAGGCAGACGGAAUUCCUAGUGUAGCGGUGAAAUGCGUAGAUAUUAGGAGGAACUCCAGUGGCGAAGGCGGUCUGCUGGACAGCAUCUGACGCUGAGGCGCGAAAGCGUGGGGAGCAAACAGG